Sapajus apella (tufted capuchin) is the source of this 1768-nucleotide long non-coding RNA. RefSeq lists it as uncharacterized. NCBI's taxonomy places the organism in Eukaryota, Metazoa, Chordata, Mammalia, Primates, Cebidae. The record is from RefSeq and is a predicted model, not a curated record. The transcript has 3 exons.
UAAUAUAUACAGAAUUAAUAAUUCCAUCAUGGAUGUAAGAGUGAUCUUUGAACAUUCCGACUUUGGUUUAAAUCCCAGGUGUGCUGCAUCUUAAGUGACACCUUGGCCAUGUUACUUUUAACCUUUUUGAGCCUCAAUUUUUUCAUCUGUACAGUGAGUUUUUUGUAGAUAAAUUGUGAAUUUACAGUUUUUUAUGCAUAAUUAACCACCUAUACUUGAUAUCGAGUUAAUAAACCUUAUAGAAAAUUAGUGCUAUUGCUAUACAUUAAAAGUUCUCUCAUAAGUAUAGCGAACGAUUCAAAUUUAGUAACAAAUUUAUUUAAAUAACUUCAGAAUUACAACUUUUAGGAAAAUUAAAUUAACCUCUGUACUGGACUCUGCCCUCUAGGUGCUUAAUUUAUAUUGUUAUCCUACUAAAAUAAUAUUAAAAGGAAUUAACAUGGUCUUGGAUUAUUUCAAAAUACAAAAAAGGUAUAAGAAAGCUGUGUUCUCAGUUGAGUGUCUACAAUAUCAACAUACAUUUUUAUAAAGUCUUGCUUUUCUUAAUAGUCUUUAUAGGCUUGGAUUAACCUGAGUGAGGAGCACACAGUAAUUUUCCCAAGGUCUGUUCUUGUGACUGUUAGGAAUAAGGAGGCAGAGCUUUUCCUUGGCUUACCUAUCCCCAUAUCUUAUCUUCUCAAGGCUGUGCCUUUCUGCCUUCCAAGGCUACAACUGGCUGAUUGAACUGUUAUCCAUGUUGAUAUGUUAAAGGAUAAGAUUGAAGGCAGCUCCCAAGGUCUUUGUUGACUUACAGGGUAACAUACAGUUUAACAAUGACCUCCAGAAGAGGAGGACCUUGCUUUUGUUUUCUAACCAAAAUAUCCUAGGUAGCAAGAAUUUUAGCUCAUGUAAAAGGAAACCCUUGGGGAAUGUAUUUGGGGUGUGCAACUACUUUUGUUAGCCCUGAAUCAUAGCAGAAGCAGCCACUUCUGCUAGUCACAACAGGGUGAGCCUGAAGUUUCUAACCUGAUGAUAUCAAAGCAUUUAAUAUUGCUAGGAAGCAUCCAAACUCCUACAGAAAACUGGGGCUUUUGAUAACUGGAUCAAAAGGGAUGAAACUGGUGGUCCAACAGGUAGACAUACCUAGAUUUGGCACAUUAAAAGAAUGCUGUUUGCAGAAGUAACAUUCCUUUGAACAGUCAGCUUUCUGAAAUGGUGUCCCACCGCAAGGACUGGAGAAGGGUGAGUUUGAGCUCAAUGCUGAACUAACAGCCAGGCAAAUUACAUUCUGUCCUAAUGUCUAACAUAGAAGUAUGGUCAGUCAGGUCUCGAAAUAAAUCUUGAAGUAGACUUAAAAAUAAUGUUCCACCUCUUCUACUACUUGUGAAAUUUUUUGGUUUAUUUCUAGUUGAAUUUGGGCUUGUUGGAAAACUGUCUUGAGUAUUUGGGCGGCAAGUUCUCACCAUGAUUCCUAAGUGAAAGCAAUUUGCUGAAUAUGUCAAUAUAGCAAUGUUAGUGGUAUUGUUGGCAGAGGGAAAAUGAUUUUUUCUCUCAUCCUGGACUUGAGCAGGAGAUAAAGAUAAAUUCAAAAGUUUCAUUGGUAUUUUAGAAGUACUAUACUUGUCCCGAUUUGAGCAAGGUGGUCAGGCAUGGGUGAUUGAUGGCAAAGAGCCUGGGUUCCAGUCCCAGGUGGUGAUGGGAACUUGCAAAUGAUUGAUCUUCCCCAAGCCUCAGUAUUCUCAUCUGUAAGAUGGAGUAAGUACUUCAUUUAGUUGUUGAGGGGAUGGAA